RNAcentral lists this long non-coding RNA (1622 nucleotides) under Capsicum annuum. RNAcentral describes it as "long non-coding RNA (CANN_LNC001349)". The record is from RNAcentral. Lineage: Eukaryota; Viridiplantae; Streptophyta; Magnoliopsida; Solanales; Solanaceae.
CAUAAUGCUAUUAUUGAUGAUUGCAAGUUAAAAUUAAGAAGGCUAGGAAAUCCGGGGGUGUUCCAUUGCUAUAGGGAGUACAAUGGAGUGACGGAUGCUUUGGCUAAAUGGGGUGCUUCUGAGGAUAUCCAGUUAGAGGCCACCUUUUUUGUAGUUCCACCAAUGUGUGCCCAUCUGCAUGGGCAUACAUUGCAGGAACUCAUUUUGUUAGAACUGUGAAUGCAUGUAACUAUGGUACUUGUGGGACUCUCCCUCAUUUUGUAUUUAAUCCCGACUAACCUUUGUUGGGAAAACAACUUUUAAUUAAUAUAUCCUCUUUUCUACCAAAAAAAGAAGUCAUGGUAAUUAGAUGUAGGAUUAUGAUUUUAUGGGCUUACUUUGUGAUAAAUAAUGUAUACUUGCAUUAUUGCACAACUAGUUGUUCUCUCCAGUUAAAUAAUUACUUAUGUGAGAAUAAUGUCAAUCUGAUGCUUUGGGGUAACCUUUGUUGCGAAAACAACUUUUAAUUAAUAUAUCCUCUUUUCUACCAAAAAAAGAAGUCAUGGUAAUUAGAUGUAGGAUUAUGAUUUUAUGGGCUUACUUUGUGAUAAAUAAUGUAUACUUGCAUUAUUGCACAACUAGUUGUUCUCUCCAGUUAAAUAAUUACUUAUGUGAGAAUAAUGUCAAUCUGAUGCUUUGGGGACAACAUAUUAUUAGUUGUUUGUAUUAUUUUUAGAAGGCCGAAAUUUAUUUCAAAAUUUUAUUUAAUUUGUAGAACGUAGAGCCAGUUCAGUAUUUCAUUAUUUCAUAAGUAUUUUAAAUCAUUGAGUUCAAAAUCUAUAAAUACAAGUCGUCAAAUUAAUAUUUGUAAAUAUUAGAACUUAGUAUUUGAAAAUACUAAAAUAACUAAUAGUACUAUAAUUUUGAAUAUGCAAGAAGGGAACUUCACUACCAAUUCAUUUCAGGGAGAAUUAAUUAUCUCUACUUUGUUAUAAUUAUAGAAACUAUGAUCUAUAAUUUUAUGGAGUAUAAGAUAUGCAAAAACGACCGUUUGCUUAAAUAAUUUUUAUCUGAUUAAGACAUUACAAUAGUAAUAAAAAUUUAUUAGUGCACAAAUAAAAUGUAUUUGUUUUCAAGCAAGUAAGGUAAUACUUGAGUUAAGCUUGUCAUGGCUCUCAUUCGAUUUAAAUUUAUUUAAAAAUUUAUGCUAGCAUUUCUUUUAAUCGGUACAAUCUUUUUUUACAUUUAUAAAAAGUUAUAUAUCUCUCUAUAAUAGUUCAUGAACUCAGAUAGUAAAAAAUUGGCCUUUUUUUGCUUCUUCGUCAGGCUUUUGAGCAGCUCUUUCAACUGCCGCCCAAUCCCUCAACAUGGUCAAACCCGAGGACAGUCUGCAUCUAAUCAAGUCUUUAACCAGAGAAUCGGAGAAUUUCCAUCCUAAUAAUUAGAAUAAAUAAUUUGCACCAUAAUCUCAAACUAAUCUUAUGCAUGUAGAGAAAAAAAUAUUGUAUUUCUUAGGUUCAUUGACCAGCCUAACCAAUAUAUAGUAAUAGUUAAGAGACUGUCUUUUCAUGUAAUUUUAAGCCACAUAAAAUUUCUAUUCUUUUUUAUUAAUUAUCUAAAUUUUUUUAUUUUUUUUAAAUAGC